RNAcentral lists this ribosomal RNA (253 nucleotides) under uncultured bacterium. Its description in RNAcentral is "partial 16S ribosomal RNA". It matches the Rfam family "Bacterial small subunit ribosomal RNA", at positions 524 to 776 of the family's 1533-position model. The record is from RNAcentral.
UACGAAGGGGGCUAGCGUUGUUCGGAAUUACUGGGCGUAAAGCGCGCGCAGGCGGUUCUUCAAGUCAGUGGUGAAAGCCCGGAGCUCAACUCCGGAAUUGCCAUUGAAACUGUAGAACUUGAGGAUGAGAGAGGUGAGUGGAAUUCCCAGUGUAGAGGUGAAAUUCGUAGAUAUUGGGAAGAACACCGGUGGCGAAGGCGGCUCACUGGCUCAUUUCUGACGCUCAGGCGUGACAGCGGGGGGAUCAAACAGG